Molecule: non-coding RNA, 83 nt
Organism: Astrocystis sublimbata
Lineage: Eukaryota; Fungi; Ascomycota; Sordariomycetes; Xylariales; Xylariaceae
Source: the annotation of a GenBank genome assembly
UCUCGAUUGGUCUAGUGGUUAGGAUACCUGCUUGUCACGACGACAAUUCGCAGGUGGCCGGGGUUCGAUUCCCCGAUCGAGAG